This 389-nucleotide ribosomal RNA is filed under the name uncultured bacterium. Its description in RNAcentral is "bacterial SSU rRNA". It matches the Rfam family "Bacterial small subunit ribosomal RNA", at positions 30 to 410 of the family's 1533-position model. The record is from RNAcentral.
AUUGAACGCUGGCGGCAUGCCUUACACAUGCAAGUCGAACGGCAGCAUGGAAGAGCUUGCUCUUCUGAUGGCGAGUGGCGAACGGGUGAGUAAAGCAUCGGAACGUACCGUGUAGUGGGGGAUAACGUAGCGAAAGUUACGCUAAUACCGCAUACGCACUGAGGUGGAAAGCAGGGGAUCGCAAGACCUUGCGCUAUACGAGCGGCCGAUGUCAGAUUAGCUAGUUGGUAGGGUAAAGGCCUACCAAGGCGACGAUCUGUAGCGGGUCUGAGAGGAUGAUCCGCCACACUGGGACUGAGACACGGCCCAGACUCCUACGGGAGGCAGCAGUGGGGGAAUUUUGGACAAUGGGCGAAAGACCUGAUCCAGCCAUGCCGCCGUGAGUGAAG